CGAACGAAAACCGACUGGUGAAUAUGGUGAAUGCAAGUUUUAAGCGGAUAUUUGAAAAGCUGGAGACGAUGGACAAGAGAUUGGUUAAGAUGGAGGCGGACAUGGAUGAGCUCAAAGAGGCAAGAGAGGAGCCUGCUUCGAAGAAAUUAAAGGGGGCUAGGAAUAAAUCUGUUGCGUCUAUCCUCCCCCCACAACCUCGAGGUCACAACCUAUCUCUUUAAUGGCGUCUCCAUGGCUGUACCGGACAUAGAUCCUGCUGUUGUUAAAGCAUCCUGCAAGACAUAUUUUGAAACUGUUCGAAGGGGUUACAGGAUGGCCCAAGAUGAGAACAAAGAGAAGAUGGAG
Xyrauchen texanus (razorback sucker) is the source of this 345-nucleotide long non-coding RNA. RefSeq lists it as uncharacterized. The record is from RefSeq and is a predicted model, not a curated record. The transcript has 3 exons. Lineage: Eukaryota; Metazoa; Chordata; Actinopteri; Cypriniformes; Catostomidae.